This 284-nucleotide ribosomal RNA is filed under the name uncultured bacterium. RNAcentral's name for it is "partial 16S ribosomal RNA". It matches the Rfam family "Bacterial small subunit ribosomal RNA", at positions 334 to 610 of the family's 1533-position model. The record is from RNAcentral.
CUUGCCUACGGGGGGCAGCAGUGGGGAAUAUUGCACAAUGGGCGCAAGCCUGAUCCAGCUAUUCCGCGUGUGGGAUGAAGGCCCUCGGGUUGUAAACCACUUUUGUAGAGAACGAAAAGACACCUUCGAAUAAAGGGUGUUGCUGACGGUACUCUAAGAAUAAGCACCGGCUAACUACGUGCCAGCAGCCGCGGUAAUACGUAGGGUGCGAGCGUUAAUCGGAAUUACUGGGCGUAAAGGGUGCGCAGGCGGUUGAGUAAGCCAGAUGCGAAAUCCCCGCGGUU